UUGUCUCUCCAAUAUGCCUAUGAGCUGAAAUUUGGCAAGAGUAGCAAAUCUAUUAACCAUCCAAAAGCUGGCAUUUGGAGACUAAACAUCAAUCCUUGAGAGACAAAAAGAGUACUGGGGUUUAUAAUGAUAAUGAUGAUUAAUAGCCAAAAUGCUCAAGAAGACAGAAAGCUGAGUACAUAAUAGAAUUAAUAUUAAAUAUAACCAAACCUUUUAUUUUGGGUAAAUUGCGCAACACAUUCUUACAUCUAAGUCUAACAAA
RNAcentral lists this unclassified non-coding RNA (262 nucleotides) under Hevea brasiliensis (rubber tree). Lineage: Eukaryota; Viridiplantae; Streptophyta; Magnoliopsida; Malpighiales; Euphorbiaceae. The record is from RNAcentral.